Rattus norvegicus (Norway rat) is the source of this 1257-nucleotide long non-coding RNA. RefSeq lists it as uncharacterized. NCBI's taxonomy places the organism in Eukaryota, Metazoa, Chordata, Mammalia, Rodentia, Muridae. The record is from RefSeq and is a predicted model, not a curated record.
AGAUCAGCUGCCAGGUCCUGCUCCUUGACGGAUCUAGUCUGGUUGCUAGGGGGAUGAGAAAAGGGGGGUCGGGGAAGGGGGAGCAAGGCAAAUAAAUCAGAGCCUGCCACACCCCAAUUCCUGGAGUGGAGAGGGGUACCGUACCAUCCCGUCUGGGCUGGGGUAAGGGGCUGGUAGGUCAGAGAUGAGCUUGUAGAAGCCUGAGUGCCUUGGCGCUUUCUGCAGCAGACCAGGGCUCUGAGCAACUGCUGCCUUUGGUCUGGGGCUCCACCCAGUCCAGCUCUAAGAGCAAAUGAUGGGCCCAGGAGACAAGGCAAGCAGAGGACCAGCACGAACCUUGCACAGGGAGCUGGCGGCAGAGCUGUGCCUUUGAGACAGCUGUGGUAGGGGCUGGGCAGAGCAGGGGAGGUUCUGAGCCCAGAGAGACAGAAAUGAAGUUUCUGUCUCCAUCUGCCCCUUUUGCUUAAGCCCCCAGAUCACUACCAGAAGGCCUUAGAAGAGAGGGGGCCAGAAAGCUAGGAGGGCUCUGUUAGUGUGGACUGAGGGAGGCCAGCCUGUGAGAGGGAUACAGCAAGGCAAAGGCAGAGAAGGUUUCAUUCCUAGUGGGGAGGAGCCAGGCUGGGAGCUCUUGGAGGAGAAAGAGGAGAAGACGUCACAGCUGUCUUGCAGUGAGGAGCUACCUAAGUAUUCUCCUGCUACCAUGCCUCCACAAGAAAAUCAACUUUGUCACAAGCCUGAAAGCAUUGGAACCAGCUGGCCAAAACUCGAUUUUCUCAGGAGAGGGAAAAAUCAUCAUUACAAGGACACAUUCCUCCCCGACCGACCGCUGGCACUUUGCUCUUCAAUUCUCCAGGCUCCGCGCUGAGACAUUUUUCCUUGGCUAAGCCAGCCUGCGUUCACCUUUCCUCACCCGGCUGAAAGCGUCCCAGCUCCUCACAUCUUGGCUCAUGUAUAAAAGAACUCAUCCGAAAGGCUUCCCGAAGGAGUUGGCAAGGGCUGCUCCUGGCUAGGGGUGGCUGCCGGGCAUUGGGGGAAGGGGCUUCAGGCUCUACCAGGUCAUUCCGAAAGCUGAAGGGACCACGUAUGGGCAUUUGAAAAUGUGUUUUCUUUGGGGCAGUUUUAAUGGGAAAUGCAGGCUUGGAAAAUAAACCCCUCAGGUGUUCUGGGGUAUCACGCUAGCUGGAAAUGUAUUUAUCUGGUUCCCAUAACUGGCUGUCCCAUUUUCCCCAGUCAUGCACUGUGGUCAAUACAGAAUGC